RNAcentral lists this ribosomal RNA (253 nucleotides) under uncultured bacterium. Its description in RNAcentral is "partial 16S ribosomal RNA". It matches the Rfam family "Bacterial small subunit ribosomal RNA", at positions 524 to 776 of the family's 1533-position model. The record is from RNAcentral.
UACAGAGGGUGCAAGCGUUAAUCGGAAUUACUGGGCGUAAAGCGUGCGCAGUCGGUUAUUUAAGUCGGGCGUGAAAGCCCCGGGCUCAACCUGGGAAUUGCGUUCGAUACUGGAUAGCUAGAGUUUGGGAGAGGGAUGCGGAAUUCCAGGUGUAGCGGUGAAAUGCGUAGAUAUCUGGAGGAACACCGGUGGCGAAGGCGGCAUCCUGGACCAACACUGACGCUGAGGAGCGAAAGCCAGGGGAGCAAACGGG